UUCUUCACAAGGAAUUGUUCAAUCGAGAAGUAACAUGGAAAAAUGCAUCCUCAUUGCAAGGUAUUGUGAGACCGCCCAUUGAAUGUUGAAAUCCAAAUUCUUCCUCAGCUUUCUGAAGCAAUUCCUGGAACGAACUGUGAUUCAGGUAUGCAAUUGGAACUACGUAUCGUUUCUUCUCUGUUUCUCCGACGUAAACUGCUAAAUGUCCUUUUGGUACAUCUGAUAUUUGAUUCCGAGUAACAACAGAGUGUAGUUUGUGAAAUUGCUUCAAACUGGGAAUAAUUGACGGUAAACGAAUAAUACCCAUCACUAGAUCUUUGAUUUUGAAGAUAAGUUUUGGUAUUUGAUGGAUUGGAACUUGUUGAGAGGAAUAAUUUUAUGCACUGAAGGUGUUUGAUGAUUUGACUGACUUGUUCUAGUCUAUAUUUAUAGUGGCUGCUUGCAAAUUGCAAUAUGUUGCGUGCCACGGCAGGUCAAUUGGUUCCAUGUGAGAGAGGCCCUACUUCACAUGCUUCGUAUUCUUACUUGAUAUAAGUAGGUAGUGCGGUAUGGGUUGUAAUAGUUCCAAUGCGUGUUGCAUCGUAAAUAGGUGUUCUUAUAAUGGAAAAAUAUACGUAUAAGAUUUUAAUGUACGGAGCGCGUGCAAGGUUCUGGAAGUUGCGCAAAGACUAGAGUAAAGAGCUAAGACUGUAGUACACACUAACUAAUAGAGGUGCCAAAAUGAGCGGACUUUUGUCAAAUGAGUUAGAUCAAUUAAUGAGUUAAAUAAAGGUUAUAAUUCAACAUGAACUAACCUUUUGUAUAGUGAUAGCAAAUGUAAUUUUUAUAAAAAUACUAGUUUUAAUUUCGUAUAUUUGGAUUGCACCUUGACUGAUCACGUUGUACUAUUUUGAGUCUUUUGACACCUUAAUUUGAUAAGUUAUUUCGAAUAUUCUGUUGAGAUAAAUAGGUCAUUACUCAACGCGUUUAAACUUAGAUAGAUUGAGCGGAUUAUAUUUUGACACCUCUUAAGUUUUGGCCAAACUAAUUAGUUAGGACUUUGAACUAAUUAGUUGCCAAUUUUAGGGAGAACAAUGGUCCUUUUGGAACAUGAAUACAAUUACUUGAAGAGUUUGUUCUACUCUACCAUCCACUCGUUUUUAUCUAUUCCUGAAUUUUGGUGAUGACGGAUGGCCAUAAGAAGGUUAUAUCUAUACCACUAUUCUCCCAUUGUUUCCACUUUAGACAUGUAUAUGUUUAUCCAUAUAUAUAUUAUUGUUUGUGCCAAAAAUAAAAAUAGUAUCACAACAUGGGCACUUUGGCCAUGCUGCCUUCUUGUGAUCUUGUGGUUGGUGAUUGGUGAAUUAAGUUAAGAGUCCUUAGAAGUACGUGUCUAAACAUAAUAUUUGGUGCAAAUUCCAACCUCUAAAUUCAUUGGCUUACAAGCUUUUUUUACAUGGAAGUAACUGCCCACAUUCAUGUGAUUUGGUAAUGCUUAAGCCAUUAUUUCCACUUGUGCUAAUUAUUAUCGGUGUUGAAUUCUCUAAUUAGUUUUCCAACUAGUGGCAAAUGGCAACUUGAAUGAAAAUAGUAGUAUUUCUAUGAGCAGUAACUUUACUCCGUUAUUUAAAUGAUAAAAUGUAUAAGUACUUAAAUUUUUACUCCGUAGGAUACGUGAAAAUAUAUAUUUUGAGUGUGAGACUCGAACUCAAAAUUUCUAUAUGCUUUUAUAUCAUAUUGAAUGGUCUAAUAACUUAUAAGUAUAUAUUAGGUUCUGAACAAGAAAGGAAAUAUCUUGACCACUACUUCAAUAUAGAAGUGCUUUGACAUCUUCUAUACUAAAUUUGUGACCCAAAUCUAGACAAUUGAACAAGCUCACUAUACUGAACUUUUGAACUUUAAUCUUUUGUGCAAAACUAAUUUCUGUCCACAAUUUAUGCUUGAUGGUCAACAAAAACAUUUGCCUAGUGAAUUUUCCGAAACAAGGAUAUAUUUUCUUUUAAAAAUUAAGUGGGGUCAAAAAAAUCAAGGCCACCUCUUUUAGGGUGAUUUGUGAACUAAACCCCAAAUUGGUUAGUAUAUUUAUUGUUCUUUAUGCUAAGUGUUUCUUCAUUUUUUGUUUUUUUUUUGGUUUCACAAACGGUGUUUGAAGCCCGUAUUGGAGUUUUGUGUAAAUCUGGAUCGUGCACUGUAGCUUCAACAUGAUUUUCUCCAUAUCCAGGCUGAAAAUCUCAUCACUACAUCACAAUCCAUGUUGGUACCAAGUAUUCCUUCUUGAUAAUGAAACAGAAUGGUUGCUAACUAGUUUAAGUUGACCUCACAGGCUGUUCUAAGAUUUCAAUUUAUUGAGGUUUAAGGUUUGAGGACAAUGAAGAAUGUUAAAAAAAUUGAUUGUAUAUUUUGCUUUCCAAUCCUCUGAACAAUAUUAACCAGAGGAAACUUUGAAGAUAUAAAAUUUACAGCUCUUGCGUGACAAGAGGAAAAAAAUAAUCAAAAUAAAAGAAAGAACACUUGUUCAUAUCAUAAACAAGUGUUCAAUCGAGAAGUGACAUGAAAAAAUGCAUCCUCAUUGCAAGGUAUUGUGAGACCCCCCAUUGAAUGUUGAAACCCAAAUUCUUCCUCUGCUUUCUGAAGCAAUUCCUGGAACGAAAUUUGAUUCAAGUAUGCAAUUGGAACCACGUAUCGCUUCUUGUUGUCUGUUUCUCCUACGUAAACCGCAAAAUGUCCUUUUGGUACAUUAUUUGAAAUUUGAUUCCUCAUAAGAACAGAGUGUAGUUUGUGGAAUUGCUUCACACUUGAAAUAAUGGAUGGCAAACGAAUAAUACCCAUAACUAGAUAGUGUUAUGACUGAAAACUGCUACUUGUUGUGAAGAAUAAUCCACUUUAAGGUGUUAGAUAAUUUGACUGACUUGUUCUGAAGUUUGUAAAUUUAAGGUUAAUAUUUAUAGUGAUCUGCUUGCAGGUCAGUUGUCCUUGUGGACUAUAUAAUUGAUGGCAUGUGAAAAAGGGCCUACUUCACAUGGUGAGUACAUUCCCAAUUCCCAAUUGAUCAGCAAUAUAGUAUUCUUUCCAAGUAUAGCAUAGUGAUGAGGGUGUCCAUAAAGUGGUAAUGUAUUUACCACUAUUCUCCCAUUGUUUCCACUUUGGACAAUACAAUAUACAUUAUCUCCCCCCCACCAAAUUGCAACUCCCAUGCUGCCUUAUUGUUGUUGAGGUUCUCCACGAAAGUGCAAGUCCUUACAAGUACAAGUAGUUUCUGAAGUCACUACGUAUAUAUUUCUAUAUUCCAUAGUUAUGAAGUCAUUAUUUAUCUCUGCUUUAUAUCAUUUCAAAAUGUGUGAUCUAUCUUUCAACAAAUUUGAAUUGAUAAACAACAUAUUUUUUAAACUCAAAAUGAGUACUAUCACGUUGAGCUUCAUACUCCCUGGUCAGUGGUGUAAGCAAUUUUUUUUUAAGCAGUGUCAUCAUUUAAAGGACAUCGAGGAGAAUCAAUAAAACUUUUGCUUUAAGCCUCCAAAAAUUUGAGGCCUCAUAAAUAUGGAUAAUAUUUUUGAAUAGGUAAUCUCUCCGUUGAUUUUGUGAAAGAGAAGACCUACAUAAAUCUUAUUAAUGUGACUUACAACAAAAGGAAAUGAAAAGGACGAAAAGAUAAUUUCUAAAUGUGAACAAAAACAAAUUUUCGUAUUAUUAAGUUUGAACAAACCACCAAAUGAUUUAAUUUAUUAAGUAACGAUUAAACAAUUAAUAAAAUAAAUUGCUUAAAUUGACCAAUAUCCACUACCUGUCUGUAUAUUCUUUUUGUACAUAAUAUAAUUCUCCGCGUAAAUUGGAUUUUAAAUUUAUAAACACACAUUAAUUAUAUUCGGCAUCGAGUUACUACGAAGAAGUUGCCAAAAGGAAAAGAAAUUAUUAGGCACAUUUAUGAUAAGCCAUUAUUGUGUGUGUCUGCAGAUUGACGAUGGCUCAUAAAUUUGUUAGACUUUUUCCGCGUUUUAAAAGAUGCUUAGAUGGAUUUUGUGGGAAAUAAAAUGAGGAAUGCGAAAAUAAAAUAGUUUAGACAUGUGAACGAAAGGUGCAUUGAUGCACCAAUUAAGAGGUUUAUAUGAGAGGUUAAAAAAACAGGGCCAGAGGGAGUAUUAACUUAUACUCUUCCGUCAACUUUUAAUUGUCAUAGUUUCCUUUUUUAGAGUCAAACGAUAAUAAUCCUGACUAAUAUUUUAUGAUGUAAUCUUUCAUCAAAUUAUAGUACUUUUCGUAUAGUUUUUGAAUAUUUAAAUUUUUUGUUUAAAAUAUCGAAUAAAUUUAAUUUAAUUUAACUUUAAAAAUUAAUUAAACUGACUUUCGAAAAGAUAACAUGACAAUUAAAAAUGAAAUGAGGGAGUACUUAAUGAUACUUUCUCUGUUUUAUGAUAAGAGGUUUUUAGCUUGAACACAUUUCUUAAGAAAAUUACUUAUUUUAAAAAAAAUGAAAAGUCCUCCUUUCAUUUUAUAUUACUUGUCCACAUUACUAAGAUAUGUAUCCCAAAUUACUUGUUAAUUUACAAAACAAAGAUAUAGUUUUUUUUUUCAUUUUACCUUUAAAAUUAAUUCUUUGAAAGUAUAAUUAAAUAUUGUAAAUUUCCAAGAAGGCUCAUCUACCAUUAAUAUUUGUAGUGGUGUAUAAGGCACAACCUAGAGUGCAGUGCUAAAAAAGUUUAAAGGGUAAAUUAAUAAAAAUAUUCUUCUUAGUUGUGAUUUCUCGGGAUGAAUGGACUAUUUUUACUAACUCAUCCUUAAUCAAAUAACUACAUUAAAAAAAAGCAACUCCUCGAAGAUUUCUUAAUUAUGUAAAAUUCCAUUUAUUUAAAUAAGAGUAAAUCGAAAGAAAAAAAUUAAUGUCUCUAUAAUUAUAUGAAACACAACUUAUUUAAAACACAAUAAAAAAAAUUAAAGUUCACUUAUUUUGAAAUAGGAUGGGGAAAGUAUUAUUUACUACUCAUAAUUAAAAUUUCAAAAAUCAAACUUUUAAAUUUUAAUGGUGAACUCAAAUGUGAGAAGCAUAAAGUGUGUGUUUUUUUUUAUUUUAUAUAUUUGAAAUAUAUAUAUAUAAAAUUUCUAGAAAUCACAAUAAUUAACAUUUUAUAAAGAAAUUCACCUCAAAAGAAAAUUUGAUGCCCUCGAAAAUUCAACUGUACCAUGUAAAUUGAGUUGUUAUUAAUAAAACAAGUGCAAUAUUUUUCGAAGACAGUGAAAAAUUGUAAAAGAAUUUGAUUGUAUUCUAAUUCAGUGAACAUAAAUUUACAAGCAAGAGGAAAAAAUGAAUGAAAGAGAAAAUCAGUAAUAUAUUAAGGCUGCUUCUUCUUCAUAAGGAAUUGUUCAAUCGAGAAGUGACAUGAAAAAAUGCGUCUUCAUUGCAGGGUAUCGUGAGACCACCCAUUGAAUGUUGAAAUCCAAAUUCUUCCUCUGAUUUCUGAAGCAAUUCCUGGAAUGAAGUGUGAUUCAGGUAUGCAAUUGGAACUACGUAUCUCUUCUUCUCUGUUUCUCCUACGUAAACUGCAAAGUGUCC
Molecule: long non-coding RNA, 5524 nt
Filed under: Solanum tuberosum (potato)
Lineage: Eukaryota; Viridiplantae; Streptophyta; Magnoliopsida; Solanales; Solanaceae
Description: long non-coding RNA (STUB_LNC002469)
Source: RNAcentral